GGGUCAGCGACUUAUAUUCUGUAGCAAGGUUAACCGAAUAGGGGAGCCGAAGGGAAACCGAGUCUUAACUGGGCGUUAAGUUGCAGGGUAUAGACCCGAAACCCGGUGAUCUAGCCAUGGGCAGGUUGAAGGUUGGGUAACACUAACUGGAGGACCGAACCGACUAAUGUUGAAAAAUUAGCGGAUGACUUGUGGCUGGGGGUGAAAGGCCAAUCAAACCGGGAGAUAGCUGGUUCUCCCCGAAAGCUAUUUAGGUAGCGCCUCGUGAAUUCAUCUCCGGGGGUAGAGCACUGUUUCGGCAAGGGGGUCAUCCCGACUUACCAACCCGAUGCAAACUGCGAAUACCGGAGAAUGUUAUCACGGGAGACACACGGCGGGUGCUAACGUCCGUCGUGAAGAGGGAAACAACCCAGACCGCCAGCUAAGGUCCCAAAGUCAUGGUUAAGUGGGAAACGAUGUGGGAAGGCCCAGACAGCCAGGAUGUUGGCUUAGAAGCAGCCAUCAUUUAAAGAAAGCGUAAUAGCUCACUGGUCGAGUCGGCCUGCGCGGAAGAUGUAACGGGGCUAAACCAUGCACCGAAGCUGCGGCAGCGACACUGUGUGUUGUUGGGUAGGGGAGCGUUCUGUAAGCCUGUGAAGGUGUGCUGUGAGGCAUGCUGGAGGUAUCAGAAGUGCGAAUGCUGACAUAAGUAACGAUAAAGCGGGUGAAAAGCCCGCUCGCCGGAAGACCAAGGGUUCCUGUCCAACGUUAAUCGGGGCAGGGUGAGUCGACCCCUAAGGCGAGGCCGAAAGGCGUAGUCGAUGGGAAACAGGUUAAUAUUCCUGUACUUGGUGUUACUGCGAAGGGGGGACGGAGAAGGCUAUGUUGGCCGGGCGACGGUUGUCCCGGUUUAAGCGUGUAGGCUGGUUUUCCAGGCAAAUCCGGAAAAUCAAGGCUGAGGCGUGAUGACGAGGCACUACGGUGCUGAAGCAACAAAUGCCCUGCUUCCAGGAAAAGCCUCUAAGCAUCAGGUAACAUCAAAUCGUACCCCAAACCGACACAGGUGGU
This 1047-nucleotide ribosomal RNA is filed under the name Escherichia coli. RNAcentral describes it as "partial 23S ribosomal RNA". It matches the Rfam family "Bacterial large subunit ribosomal RNA", at positions 617 to 1667 of the family's 2925-position model. The record is from RNAcentral. Lineage: Bacteria; Pseudomonadati; Pseudomonadota; Gammaproteobacteria; Enterobacterales; Enterobacteriaceae.